UACGAAGGGGGCUAGCGUUGCUCGGAAUCACUGGGCGUAAAGGGUGCGUAGGCGGGUCUUUAAGUCAGGGGUGAAAUCCUGGAGCUCAACUCCAGAACUGCCUUUGAUACUGAGGAUCUUGAGUCCGGGAGAGGUGAGUGGAACUGCGAGUGUAGAGGUGAAAUUCGUAGAUAUUCGCAAGAACACCAGUGGCGAAGGCGGCUCACUGGCCCGGUACUGACGCUGAGGUGCGGAAGCGUGGGGAGCAAACAGG
Molecule: ribosomal RNA, 253 nt
Filed under: uncultured bacterium
Lineage: Bacteria
Description: partial 16S ribosomal RNA
Rfam family: Bacterial small subunit ribosomal RNA
Source: RNAcentral